Long non-coding RNA from Populus euphratica (Euphrates poplar), 175 nucleotides. RefSeq lists it as uncharacterized. The record is from RefSeq and is a predicted model, not a curated record. The transcript has 2 exons. NCBI's taxonomy places the organism in Eukaryota, Viridiplantae, Streptophyta, Magnoliopsida, Malpighiales, Salicaceae.
UCUGUCGAAGAUAUCCUUGUACGGAAGCUGAUCUGAUACCAUGAAAUGAUAUCAAAUCAGUUGUAUUUUCAACUUGGAAUUCAAAAAAAGGUAACAUCUCGGAGGAAAAUGCUUUGAAUAAAUAAAGAUCGACAUGACUUUUACAUUCUCAAAUAUUGCCACAUUAUAACCUGAA